UUUCAAAUCAGCAUUAUAACCUCCAAUAUGAGGGAAGGAUUGAGGUGGAUCACCACCAGUUCCUCGCCUUAAACUAGAUUGGGGUGAUGUACUACCACCUGACCUUACUUUUGGUCUCGCUCCUGAAUUAGGGGGGUCAGACAAAUCAGGUGCACUUGGAGUCCCGCCACGAGGUUUUCCAUCCUUUCCACCAUCUUUAUUCUUUCCAAAGAAGUAACCACAAUUUUCAC
Molecule: non-coding RNA, 230 nt
Filed under: Cryptosporidium parvum
Lineage: Eukaryota; Apicomplexa; Conoidasida; Eucoccidiorida; Cryptosporidiidae
Source: RNAcentral